RNAcentral lists this ribosomal RNA (624 nucleotides) under uncultured bacterium. RNAcentral describes it as "bacterial SSU rRNA". It matches the Rfam family "Bacterial small subunit ribosomal RNA", at positions 338 to 1414 of the family's 1533-position model. The record is from RNAcentral.
CCUACGGGAGGCAGCAGUGGGGAAUUUUGGACAAUGGGCGAAAGCCUGAUCCAGCCAUGCCGCGUGCAGGAAGAAGGCCUUCGGGUUGUAAACUGCUUUAGUUCGGGAAAAAGGGAUGCUUGGUUAAUACCCGAGUGUUUUGAUGGUACCGGAAGAAUAAGCACCGGCUAACUACGUGCCAGCAGCCGCGGUAAUACGUAGGGUGCGAGCGUUAAUCGGAAUUACUGGGCGUAAAGCGUGCGCAGGCGGUCUUGUAAGACAGUCGUGAAAUCCCUGGGCUUAACCUAGGAACUGCGAUUGUGACUGCAAGGCUAGAGUGUGUCAGAGGGGGGUGGAAUUCCACGUGUAGCAGUGAAAUGCGUAGAGAUGUGGAGGAACACCGAUGGCGAAGGCAGCCCCCUGGGAUAACACUGACGCUCAUGCACGAAAGCGUGGGGAGCAAACAGGAUUAGAUACCCUGGUAGUCCACGCCCUAAACGAUGUCGACUGGUUGUUGGGUGGGUAACCACUUAGUAACGAAGCUAACGCGUGAAGUCGACCGCCGNGGAGGUACGGUCGCGAGAUUAAACUUAAAUAGAAGUAGUACGCGUGAGACGUGCCGACGGACGACGACGAGGGAGGAGG